Molecule: non-coding RNA, 119 nt
Organism: Hydra vulgaris (swiftwater hydra)
Lineage: Eukaryota; Metazoa; Cnidaria; Hydrozoa; Anthoathecata; Hydridae
Source: RefSeq, a predicted model, not a curated record
UAAAAAGUGUUAGGCAAUUGGAACAAAAGGCGGCAGCUGCGCUAACUAAUACACCAGUGCCUGUAUCAGCACCUGCGCCAAAUAAUGUACCGGCUUCAGCUUCAACGCCUGCAGCAACC